This 30-nucleotide small RNA is filed under the name Bombyx mori (domestic silkworm). Its description in RNAcentral is "ovarian small RNA-20128". Lineage: Eukaryota; Metazoa; Arthropoda; Insecta; Lepidoptera; Bombycidae. The record is from RNAcentral.
UACAAUAUAACACUUGUGUUUAGUCACUAC